RNAcentral lists this ribosomal RNA (525 nucleotides) under uncultured Clostridiaceae bacterium. Its description in RNAcentral is "bacterial SSU rRNA". It matches the Rfam family "Bacterial small subunit ribosomal RNA", at positions 28 to 550 of the family's 1533-position model. Lineage: Bacteria; Bacillati; Bacillota; Clostridia; Eubacteriales; Clostridiaceae. The record is from RNAcentral.
GAUGAACGCUGGCGGCGUGCUUAACACAUGCAAGUCGAACGAAGCACUCUAUUUGAUUUUCUUCGGAAAUGAAGAUUUUGUGACUGAGUGGCGGACGGGUGAGUAACGCGUGGGUAACCUGCCUCAUACAGGGGGAUAACAGUUGGAAACGACUGCUAAUACCGCAUAAGCGCACAGGAUCGCAUGAUCCGGUGUGAAAAACUCCGGUGGUAUGAGAUGGACCCGCGUCUGAUUAGCCAGUUGGCAGGGUAACGGCCUACCAAAGCGACGAUCAGUAGCCGACCUGAGAGGGUGACCGGCCACAUUGGGACUGAGACACGGCCCAAACUCCUACGGGAGGCAGCAGUGGGGAAUAUUGCACAAUGGGGGAAACCCUGAUGCAGCGACGCCGCGUGAGCGAAGAAGUAUUUCGGUAUGUAAAGCUCUAUCAGCAGGGAAGAAGAAUGACGGUACCUGACUAAGAAGCACCGGCUAAAUACGUGCCAGCAGCCGCGGUAAUACGUAUGGUGCAAGCGUUAUCCGGAU